AUGCAUGGGAGGCUGCAGUCCACCUCUUCCUUGUGGUGCAGCGGACGCCGGCAUCAGCGGGUGGGCGACAGACCGCGGCCUCAGCGGGUGGGCGACGACACCUGCAGCUGGUGCUAUACCCAUGGAUUCUGGCACAACUCGAAACAUUCAGGUACGAGCAUACAUAUAACAUGGGUUGCCAUGAAAGAUGUCUUCCCAUCUCAGGUGAUGAAGAUGGCGUACCUUUAUUUUUUGACACAAGUACUGAUCGGUGUUGGAAUUGGGCUUUAUAAACUUGGCUUUCCAGCAGUGGACAAGUGUGUGGAAAUUGGACUUCCAGAACUCAUCCUAAUGGUCGCAUUUUCUCAGGUACUUCAAAUCAAACUCUACAUGCAAUUGAUGGGGCUACAUGAUAGUCACUUUAAUAUAUCUUCUUGGAAGCCGCUUAGUGUUUCCAUGAAUAAUUGUUGCUGGUCUGUUGCAUGCCUUCAUUGUUUGGUGGGCUACUUCCUUCAUGGUGUGGUUGAAGAAUUUUCAGAGGCACGGUUCAUCUUGCGUGCAACUUUUAGCUUGAGUUUCUAUUGA
Molecule: ribosomal RNA, 564 nt
Filed under: Triticum aestivum (bread wheat)
Lineage: Eukaryota; Viridiplantae; Streptophyta; Magnoliopsida; Poales; Poaceae
Description: partial small subunit ribosomal RNA
Source: RNAcentral